This is a non-coding RNA of Pelobates cultripes (western spadefoot toad), 448 nucleotides long. The record is from the annotation of a GenBank genome assembly. Lineage: Eukaryota; Metazoa; Chordata; Amphibia; Anura; Pelobatidae.
CUUAAGUGCACUGUGCAGUUCUGUAAUUAUCUGUACACUUGUAUAUCUUGGUGCGGCUGUCAGUCUGUGAGUAAAACUCGACUGUUUGUAUUUCAAGCUUCUGGUUGGCAGAUCGUAUUGUAUUCCAGCCCCUUUGGUGUAAAUGUGAAAUAGUUGUAAUUUGACAUUGUUGCAUGUAUAAUUAACCUGUGUAUCCUUGUUGAGCCUUCUGUUUUGAAAGACUGUAAAUGUGAGCAAAUUUUAUGGCAAUUUGACUGUAUUCUGGUUCCCAAUCUUUGAGAGGCUUUCAUUUUAAUUGGGGGGAUUUUUUUUUUUUUUUUUUUAUAAUCUUCAAACUUGUUAGCACUUUUAAGACUGGUAUAAAGAUUGAUCACGUACUCCAUUUUACAGUACUAAACUGGCAUUGCAUGAGUAAUUCAAUAUGGUGGCCAUUAUUUAAUUUCAAAAC